CCUACGGGAGGCAGCAGUGAGGAAUAUUGGUCAAUGGGCGAAAGCCUGAACCAGCCAAAUAGCGUGAGGGACGAAGGUCCUAUGGAUGGUAAACCUCUUUUGUCGGGGAACACAGGCGCCCACGGGUAGGAGGAUGAGUGUACCCGAAGAAGACGCAUCGGCUAACUCCGUGCCAGCAGCCGCGGUAAUACGGAGGAUGCAAGCGUUAUCCGGAUUUAUUGGGUUAAACGGGUGCGUAGGCUGACUGUCAAGUCAGCGGUAAAAAUGCGGUGCUCAACGCCGUACAGCUGUGGAAACUGGCAGUCUUGAGUGGGAGAGAAGUAUGCGGAAUGCGUGGUGUAGCGGUGAAAUGCAUAGAUAUCACGCAGAACACCGAUUGCGAAGGCAGCAUACCGGCGCCCUACUGACGCUGAGGCACGAAAGCGUGGGUAUCGAACAGGAUUAGAUACCCUUGUAGUC
Molecule: ribosomal RNA, 459 nt
Filed under: uncultured bacterium
Lineage: Bacteria
Description: partial 16S ribosomal RNA
Rfam family: Bacterial small subunit ribosomal RNA
Source: RNAcentral